UGGGUAUUUGGCCAAUUCUAGAAUAAUUAAAAAUCAACGAGAAUAGUUGAUAUUUAUUCCGAUAGAUGGUGCAAGCCAUCAGCAACUUUCAGUUGCACGAUAAGGAGAUGCCUUUUUUCAUACUAUUGUCUAAGUUGUUUUGUUUAUAUAUUAUAGCUUACCUUGUUGUAAUAUAAUUAAAUAUUAAAACACAAAAUAUUGUGACAAUCCCUUAUUUCUAAAUAGGAAACGUUAUACAUAUAUUAUUAAUUAGCUAUAUAUUUCUGUAGACAUUAAAGUGAUGAUAGAAAAUAAAUUAGAUGAGGGAAUUUGACUCAUGAAAAUGAUGUAUGGCGAGUCCUUACAGGACGGAAAUGUCCUAAUAAAGCUGUUGUUGUUGUUGUUGACUCAUCAGUGGUGAACCCUCUCAGUGGUUUGGCUGACUGCGAAUCUGCAGAUUGCUCCAUUAUUGUAUUGUGCCUUUUUUUCUUAUAUAUAGUCUGUGAUUUUAUUAGAAAGUCUAUUAGAGGUGUUCUUUGUGAAUUUAUAGAAAUAAUCUACUUGGUCUACAGAACUGUAUGCAUAUAAUUUGAAGAAAAUUCAGUGGACACCGCUUUCCGCAAAUAUGAUUUUAUAUUAUACACUCAUAGACAAAACUUAAGGAUGUCAAACCAUUUAAUGUCUCAGGCAAUUUUGUUCACACUUGGUUAUCUCGUGUGUCUUCAAUAAAGGUCAUUGUAAUAUCUUUCAGAGUUUUGAUCUGAAUAUUCCGAUAUACACGUUAAAAGGUUCAACUUCCUUAAGUUUUGCCCAUGAGUAUAAAUCAAUUUUCAGUCAUUAUAUUCUGACCUUAAAUACCCAUUUCUUGAUUUCUCAGAAAACCUCUAGGACCAAGAGGUACAGUCUGUGCCACGCUGACGAGGGCCAACAGCCCGAAACACGUACGUGGUUGACUUUUAAUGAUUUAUCAAGAAAUUGGGCUGGCCAAAUAUCACAUCAAUAAGUUAGAUAAACGUUUAGUUCAUUUUUGUUACACUAGAUGGUGCUCUGCCAUUUAGAAACUCUCACGUGAGCACGGUCAGGAUAUGCCUUUUUUAUUUUGAAUAUAUAUAUGUAUAUUUUAAUAUAUAUGUAGUCAAACAGACAUGUGUGACUCUAAGAUGUGCUGUAGAUGAAAGAGGUAGAUGAGCUGUUCCAAGAGCUGGCCGUGGAAGCGGAGGAUUGGCUACCAGAGGAAUCCGACACUGAGGUACAGAACUAUAUAUAUACUCUUGCAGAAACACGCUUUCCGAGUAGUUAGGCUAACUGCUAAAAUUGUAGAACUAGGAAAACAAACGGCUAACUGUGAAAAAAGGGGCAUCUCCUUAUCGUGCAACUGAAAGUUGCUGAUGGCUUGCGCCAUCUAUCGGAAUAAAUAUCAACUAUUCUCAUUGAUUUUUAAUUAUUUCAGAAUUGGCCAAAUACCCAUUCUUGAUUAAUCAAGAAAAGCUAACCACGAUAACCAGUUGCUCGAUAAGGAGAUGCCCUUUUUUCAUAAUUAUGCACCUUAUCCCAGUACAAUAUCACAUUUGUACUAUUUUUUCACAAACGGCUAACUAUCAUAUUAUUUUCUCAAUAUUGUUUUCAAAAUAACGAUAAUAAAACAUGGUAGCCCACAAAUACAAUUGCUGAACAGAAUGGAAGGAACUUUUAUCACAAUGAGCAGGAACUUGUUAUUACAGAAUAUUAAAGCAUUGGAACCAUAUAUCGUCAUAAUGUAGAUAAAUGAAUGAUAAUGUUAAUUAAAUAAGACAACAGAUAUCUAGAGAUGAGUUUCUUUCCAUAUUUAUUGCAAUCUCAAGUUUUCGGUCAAUACCUACAGCCCUUCAACAGAAGUACGAAAAUGAACAAUGAUGAAACGCUGUUAUAUACUGCGUUAUGAAACGCUGUUUCAUAAUUGUUCAUUUUUGUACUCCUGUAGACAAUUGAUAAUUAAAAUAAUUUUAUGAACAUCUUGUCAAUACAUGCAAAGUGCACAGUCUGCUUCUAUCACACUCUUCUGUAGAAGGACGGUAAAUGCCCGAAAACUUGAGAUUGCAAUUCUGUAUCUAACGGCCUUUUAUCAUUGUUCAUUGUGUACUCCUGUAGAAGGACGGUAAAUGCCCGAAAACUUGAGAUUGCAAUUCUGUAUCCAACGGUCUUUUAUCAUUGUUCAUUGUGUACUCCCGUAGAAGGACGGUAAAUGCCCGAAAACUUGAGAUUGCAAUUCUGUAUCUAACGGUCUUUUAUCAUUGUUCAUUGUGUACUCCCGUAGAAAGGCGGUAAUGCCCGAAAGCUUGAGAUUGCAAUUCUGUAUCUAACGGUCUUUUAUCAUUGUUCCUUGUGUACUCCCGUAGAAAGGCGGUAAUGCCCGAAAACUUGAGAUUGCAAUUCUGUAUCUAACGGCCUUUUAUCAUUGUUCAUUGUGUACUCCCGUAGAAAGGCGGUAAUGCCCGAAAACUUGAGAUUGCAAUUCUGUAUCCAACGGCCUUUUAUCAUUGUUCAUUGUGUACUCCCGUGAAAGGCGGUAAUGCCCGAAAACUUGAGAUUGCAAUUCUGUAUCCAACGGCCUUUUAUCAUUGUUCAUUGUGUACUCCCGUAGAAAGGCGGUAAUGCCCGAAAACUUGAGAUUGCAAUUCUGUAUCUAACGGCCUUUUAUCAUUGUUCAUUGUGUACUCCCGUAGAAAGGCGGUAAUGCCCGAAAACUUGAGAUUGCAAUUCUGUAUCUAACGGCCUUUUAUCAUUGUUCAUUGUGUACUCCUGUAGAAAGGCGGUAAUGCCCGAUAACUUGAGAUUGCAAUUCUGUAUCUAACGGCCUUUUAUCAUUGUUCAUUGUGUACUCCUGUAGAAAGGCGGUAAUGCCCGAAAAUUUGAGAUUGCAAUUCUGUAUCCAACGGCCUUUUAUCAUUGUUCAUUGUGUACUCCUGUAGAAGGGCAGAGAUACCUGAAAACUUGAGAUUGCAAUAAAAAUGAAAAUAAACUCACAUCUCCAGAAACCUUUUGCAUUAUUUAAUUUAUGUACAGGCUAUUCACAUCUAUUAAAUUGAUACGAAAAUGCAUAGUACAAGUUGUCAUGUGUAAGAAACAGCUGUCACAUAUAGCGGUACUAUCACAUUAUCCAUAACCAGACUUGCAAAUACAAAGUAAUAGGUAGAGAACAUGAAUGUGAUGUUGUUUAGACCAUUACCUGCUAUAGUUGGGGAGAGGGUGGGGUGCAAUUGUUAGGGCGUGAAUACGAAUGUUCUAUUAGUGAUAAUACCAUUGUUGUAUUGAUGAUAAUACGAUUGUUGAAUUUUUUUUGGGGGAUAUUUUUUACUAUUAUUGUAUUGGGGAUGUUAAAAUUGUUUUAUUGUGGAGAUAUUACAAUUGUUGGAGUGGGGAUAUUACGAUUGCUGGAUUGGGGACAUUGUAAUUGUUGUUUUGGACGUAUUACCUUGGUUUCAUUUGGGAUAUUACGAUUGUUGUAUUUGAGAUAUUCCAAUUGUUGCAUUGGAGAUAUUAUAAUUGUUGUAUUGCGGAUAUUAUUAUUGUUGGAGUUGGGAUAUUUUAGAUUAUUGAAGUGGGGAUAUUUCGAUUGUUGGAGUAGGGAUAUUUCAAUUGUUGUAUUGGGAAUAUUGCAAUUGUUGUUUUGGACGUAUUACUUUUAUUUCAUAUGAGAUAUUAUAAUUGUUGUAUUUGAGAUAUUAUAAAAUUGUUGUAUUGAAGAUAUUCGAAGUUUUGAAUUUGUUUCCGGAUAUUAUAAUUGUUGGAUUUCGGAUAUUACAAUUGUUGUAUCGGGGAUAUUGCGGGUGUUAGACGGAGAGAGAGAGAGCAGUCGAUAGCGAAUGAUAAGUGUAUCUAAACUUAUUGAUUUUCCCAGUGUUUAUUCCUACAAGUUUUGUCCAUGAAUGUAUAUAUAUAUAUAUAAUAUACAGGGUGUACCAGGUAAAUUGGGAAUUUCAACAAUGGUAUUUUAACUGAAAUUUUUUGCAAGUAAAAAUUAAAAUAUCCGAAUGAAAUUUGACACAGUAGUAGAUAAAAGGAUAUAGUUUUUAUUUAUUCAAUGUAGUUUCCAUUUUUAGCUACAACAGUCUCGAGGCGAGUGCGGAAUGAAGCACAGGCCUUGGCGACGAUGACCUUGUCCAUUUGGGUCAUCACCGUGUGAACUGCUUUCUUGACAGACUGGAUGGUGGUAUGAGGAGCUUUGUUGACAUCUCUCUCAACAACGCCCCAUACAUAGUAGUCGAGGGGAUUGCAAUCUGGAGAAUUAGGGGGCCAAAUAUCAGGACCCCAGUGACUAGGGACGUUAAGUGUCAGCCACGAUUGUGUCUUUUUUGCCUUAUGGGCUGGAGCUGAGUCCUGUUGGAAGACAUACUUCCUUCCUGCGGCCACCAUGUCCAUCCAAGGCUUCACAACGGUCUCCAGAACAUUGAUGUAGGUGUCAGCGUUCAUCCUAAGGCCCUUCUCAAAGAAAUGGGGAGGCAUGACAUCACCUUCACUGCUGAUAACGCCAAGGACCAUUACGGAGGCAGGAAAUUUCGUGUGCAUCACGACAGGUAUCUCUGAGGGGUCUUUACAGAUCCAGCGAUCAUUCCUGGGAUUUACCUUUUGGUCCACGUCAAAGUUAUUUUCGUCAGAGAAGAACCUUAGCAUGCCAAAAGAGUCGUGUUUCAGGUUGUUGAGGAGGGCAGCAGCCUUUCCUUUUCUGUUAUUCUUCAUAUUCUCAGUCAGCAACUGACCUUUCCGAAGGGCAUAAGACUUGAGACCAAGGUUCUCAUGGAUAGUUCUGACAAUUGUCAUAGAGCCAACGUCCAUUUCCUUGGGUUUGGCCCUCAUGCUCUUCCCAGGGUUUCCAUCAAUCUUCUCCUUGACAUUUUGGACAAAUUCUUCGCCUCUUACCCUGUCCGAUCGACGCUAGUGCUUUUUCCUUGUAGCUAUCCCCUCUUUGUUAAUGUCGGCCUCAUCAAACUGCUUCUUGACACGAUAAAUAGUGGUUUUGGGCAACUUAAGAAAAUCCACUAUCUCUUUGGGGCUCCUUCCGGCGCGCAGAACAACGAUGAUGGCAGCUCGAUUUUCAAAUUCUCGGUUACUCUUCAUCAAUACACUGCGCACACAUGUACUGUUGCAUUUUACAUGAAUAUGGCUACGUAAUGAAAAAAAAAAACAAGUUUUUAAUCUCAAGUAGUUUUUGUUUUNNNNNNNNNNNNNNNNNNNNNNNNNNNNNNNNNNNNNNNNNNNNNNNNNNNNNNNNNNNNNNNNNNNNNNNNNNNNNNNNNNNNNNNNNNNNNNNNNNNNAAUGGCUUCGUUGAUUCGCUCUUCAAGCAUAUCGGGAUGGGAGGUUUCCGUCCAGUUCUGCCGAAGUCUUCAGCCCAUCAAUACAAAGCUCCUUCUAACUUCCACGGCUCAUACUAAUGUGCCAACUACUGGAGCUAACUAUAGAAUAGGAUACGUUGUGAAAGCAAUUCUUAUUACCUUCGUUAUAAAGACAAACGUCAAAAUUUAUUAUACUUAAUUCGUAUGUUUAAUAUUUAAAAUAAAUUAAGUUAUAUUAAAGAGUUUCUAAGCUUUUUGAUAUCACACACAAGCCCCCCAACCUGUAUAAAUAAACUUCAAGAUGAUAAAAGCAUUCAAUAAUUUAUAAUUUAAUUUCUACAGAUGUAAAAUUGUAGAGGUAGAGAAGCAUUUUGUAUACGCCACAAUUCUUCAAUAAAAAUAUAAAAUGAAAAUUGAUAUCACGCUAUGGAGAGAGUAAAUAGUUGAUAAUGCGACAAGAUACAUAUCACUGUAAUAGUUGAUAUAGUUGAUAAUGCGACAAGACAAGAUACAUAUCACUGUAAUAGUUGAUAUAGUUGAUAAUGCGACAAGACAAGAUACAUAUCACUGUAAUAGUUGAUAUAGUUGAUAAUGCGACAAGACAAGAUGCAUAUCACUGUAAUAGUUGAUAUAAUUGAUAAUGCGACAAGACAAGAUACAUAUCACUGUAAUAGUUGAUAUAGUUGAUAAUGCGACAAGACAAGAUACAUAUCACUGUAAUAGUUGAUAUAGUUGAUAAUGCGACAAGACAAGAUACAUAUCACUGUAAUAGUUGAUAAUGCGACAAGACAAGAUACAUAUCACUGUAAUAGUUGAUAUAGUUGAUAAUGCGACAAGACAAGAUACAUAUCACUGUAGAUAAUAUAUGUGCCUAGAGAGACAUCCUCUUUUAUUAUGCAUCAUAACGGUACAUUAUGUUAAUCACCCUGGUAAGGAAACUCAACUAGUGGGGUUGAAGAAUGAGCCACAACAUUAAUUUGGGUAAAUUGAGACAAUUAUAGACACAAUAUAUGUAAUGGCGUACAAUAUAUAUGCAUACACACCCCAUUCUUUAAUAAAAAAUAUAAAAUGAAAAUUGUGAAAACACACUAUGGAGGAAAGUAUGACCAUAUGGACAACAUAUAUAUAUCGUAAUAUUAUAUGCGGGGAAUAUUACUCUUGGGGUUGAUGAUUGUUGAGGUGGUGACGCAGUCGUGGUGGCUGAGUGCUAAGGUUUACACAACAGGGGAAAUAAACCAGGAGACACGAUUGAUUGUUGAAAUAAGGCAACUAGUCGGAGGAAAGAAAGGCUUGAGAAGGCGGAGCGGUUUUUGACUAUUGGCCUAUCUAUUCACAUGACGGUGAUUGACUUAGCUGAAAGGAUGAACGGGGGAGGUCUCUAGAGCAGGUGUUACCUCGGUGGGAGCUAGCUAACUACUCGAUGGGAUCCAAAAGAAGACUGUAGGUCCUAACUCGGUGGGAUCGAAGUGAAGACUAUAGGUGCUAUUUCGGUGGGAUCGAAAGAACAACUGACAAUUCUUGGUUCUCGAUUUAACACGAGAACUCUUCUUACCUCUCAUUGGUUGAAAUGUGUGACGUGGCGGUUCCCUAUUGGUUGACCUCUGCUGAGUUGCUCCCUAAUUGGUCUACGUUACUUCUUUUGUCUUUAGACAUGUCCCAGCUUGACCAGGAAGUAAUAGUUUGUUGAACUCAACUUUUAUUAGUUCCGCGAUAAUUAAACUGGGUAUAACUUUACUAAUGAUCGUGCUAACUUCUAAGCCUCUUUUCUAGGCCUUUCUUCUAGGUCUUUCUGUCCUCCAAUGUUACCUUGUUUUAUUGAAACAAAUCAUACAUUUUUAUACAUAUAUUGGAUUAGGUUGGCAUCUAAUUAUACAAAUUAUGACAUAUAUUAAUAUUGUCAUAACCAAAAAUGUACAUAGCGUGUAACUGUAAAUAAUACAUCGGCAGCUUGGCGAGUGUAGUGUACCUAAGCUCCGAUAGAUGGCGGGCGCGCUAGGCGGGAAGUUUGUAAACAUUAGCCGCCAUCUUGGGGGCGUAGCCGAAAGCCAGCCCUUUGGGUCUUUGACAUUACUUCCUUAAUUUAUAAUUAUUUUAUCCAUUUAACUUAGUUUAUCCCUUCUCCUUCUUUAUCUCCCAAACUAUUUAAGUUCAUCUAAUAAAUUAUUACUUACCUUCAUUACAGUGACUAGCCAACAUAUAUGAUGACGUACAAUAUAUAAAAGUAUAACAAAUCUAAAGUUUUGCGGAGGAGCCUCUUUUAUUAUACAUUUGCAAGCUUUCGAACCUUUCGGUUCUUCCACAGGCGUGGCUAGUAUGACUACACUAACAGGGUAUAAGCGCGCUUGAGCCAUUAUAUACAACAUAUAAAUUUACAUGCGGAGUGAUAUUUCAAACGUAAUAAAAUAGAAAUAGGAACUAUGACUAUAAAAAUAAAACUAUGUAAAUGAACUUAUAGAUUUUUAAAAUUUAGAUGAAAUUAUGGCAAAAACUUUUAAAUGCGAUAAAAGUUAAGUAAAAUAAUGAUAUUCACUGUAUGUAAGCCGUGUGACACUUUAAAAUUUCGUAACAUUUAAAACCAGUAAAAUUUUAAAACAUCUCAACACAGAAAAACCAAGCUGGGGUCCACUCCUCCCGACCACACACCCGAGUGUAUCACGGUGUAACUAUUGAGAUAUGAUAUGAUAUAUUUCCGGUAGAUCUAUUUUCCUAUUUAUGCUGUUUGUUUGUGUUGAUAUGAUGGAUUCCAGUACCAAUCUGUGCUGCUUAUUGUUUAUGUGCUGAUAUAGGAUUUUAGGAUGAUCUAAGUUGAAGUUAUGGCCUGUGUUUGAAAUAUGUUGGUAUAUAAGUGAUUUCGGGUCUCUAUUGUUUAUGUUUCGUUUGUGUUCGGUGAUUCUGAUAUACGCGGUUCUGCCAGUCUCCCCCACAUAGGAGGCUGGGCAAUCCUGGCAAGAAACCGCGUAUACUGCUCCGGUGGAGUGGAUGGGAUUGUUGGGUGCGUCUGCUUUGGUGAUAGGAUUCCUGAGGAGGGCAGCAAGAUUGGGAGGGCUGUUAAAAUAAACCUGAAUACCAUAUGGGCGAAGGAUUCUGGAAAUGGCAACAGAGAAGGAGGAAUAUGGAAGAUAGCAGACUGCUCUAUAAGUCGUGGAGGUCCUCGGAGCAGUGGGAUCAAACGUGUGUCUAUCUAUGAAUUUUCUUGGGUAUCCUGCAGUGGUUAGAAGGGUGGUAAUUCUGUUUUUUUUCUAUGGCUUUGAAUAUAGGCAAUGAGCAAUGCGUAUGUAUUCUUUUGGUUAAAGUCCUGACUGUGUUUACUUUAUAGGCUACCGGGCUAUUGGAGGAGAAAUGGGUGUAUAGGGGUGGGAUAUUCUUUUUGUAAUAAACUGCUGUGUGCAAUCUGUGUGGAGUGCGGAUAAUAAGGAUGUCCAGAAAUGGCAAUACUAGGUUUGUUUCUGUUUCGUAUGUGAAUUUGAUGUCUGCGUGAAAGGAAUGUAGAGUGUUAAGAAUAGGUUGGAGCUCAUUCGGUUUGAUUACACAGAAGAUGUCGUCCACAUACCUCCUCCAAUAAUGGAUGUCGGAAGAAUGCAUCUGAUUGAUCCACUGGUCCAAGGACCCCAUCACGACUUCGGCAACUAUGGAUGAAAGAGGACUGCCCAUUGGGGUGCCUCUGAUCUGCUUAUAAUGCUGGUGGUUAAACGUGAAGGUGCUAA
RNAcentral lists this non-coding RNA (8993 nucleotides) under Cordylochernes scorpioides. The record is from RNAcentral. Lineage: Eukaryota; Metazoa; Arthropoda; Arachnida; Pseudoscorpiones; Chernetidae.